AUUGAACGCUGGCGGCAUGCUUUACACAUGCAAGUCGAACGGUAACAGGCCUUCUGUUUCUGACGAGUGGCGAACGGUUGAGUAAUUCAUCGGAACGUUCCCAGAGGUUGGGUAUAACGCAUCUAAAGCUGUUCUAAUACCUCAUGUGAUCUGAGUAUGAAAGCGGUGUACCACGCAGCAAUUUUUGGCCUCUCGCCUCUUGAGCGGCCGAUGUCAGAUUAGUUAGUUGGUGGGGUAAAGCCCUACCAAGCCGACGAUCUGUAGCUGGUCUGAGAGGAGGACAAGCAACACUGGGAGUGAGACACGGACAAGACGACUACGGGAGGAAGCAGAGGGGAAUGUUGGACAAUGGGGGCAAGAAUGAUCAAGCAAUGCAGCGUGCGGGAAGAAGGCCUUGGGGUUGUAAACAGGUUUUGUACGGAACGAAAAGGAUCUGGCUAAUACCUGGGGCUGAUGACGGUAACGUAAGAAUAAGCACCGGCUAACUACGUG
This 492-nucleotide ribosomal RNA is filed under the name uncultured bacterium. Its description in RNAcentral is "partial 16S ribosomal RNA". It matches the Rfam family "Bacterial small subunit ribosomal RNA", at positions 30 to 507 of the family's 1533-position model. The record is from RNAcentral.